AGUGAACGCUGGCGGUAGGCCUAACACAUGCAAGUCGAACGGCAGCACAGUAAGAGCUUGCUCUUACGGGUGGCGAGUGGCGGACGGGUGAGGAAUACAUCGGAAUCUACUUUUUCGUGGGGGAUAACGUAGGGAAACUUACGCUAAUACCGCAUACGACCUACGGGUGAAAGCAGGGGAUCUUCGGACCUUGCGCGAUUGAAUGAGCCGAUGUCGGAUUAGCUAGUUGGCGGGGUAAAGGCCCACCAAGGCGACGAUCCGUAGCUGGUCUGAGAGGAUGAUCAGCCACACUGGAACUGAGACACGGUCCAGACUCCUACGGGAGGCAGCAGUGGGGAAUAUUGGACAAUGGGCGCGAGCCUGAUCCAGCCAUACCGCGUGGGUGAAGAAGGCCUUCGGGUUGUAAAGCCCUUUUGUUGGGAAAGAAAAGCAGCAGGUUAAUACCCCGCUGUUCUGACGGUACCCAAAGAAUAAGCACCGGAUAACUUCGUG
This 492-nucleotide ribosomal RNA is filed under the name uncultured bacterium. Its description in RNAcentral is "partial 16S ribosomal RNA". It matches the Rfam family "Bacterial small subunit ribosomal RNA", at positions 29 to 507 of the family's 1533-position model. The record is from RNAcentral.